GAUGAACGCUGGCGGCGUGCCUAAUACAUGCAAGUCGAGCGAACGGACGAGAGGCUUGCUUUUCUGAUGUUAGCGGCGGACGGGUGAGUAACACGUGGAUAACCUACCUAUAAGACUGGGAUAACUUCGGGAAACCGGAGCUAAUACCGGAUAAUAUUUUGAACCGCAUGGUUCAAAAGUGAAAGACGGUCUUGCUGUCACUUAUAGAUGGAUCCGCGCUGCAUUAGCUAGUUGGUAAGGUAACGGCUUACCAAGGCAACGAUGCAUAGCCGACCUGAGAGGGUGAUCGGCCACACUGGAACUGAGACACGGUCCAGACUCCUACGGGAGGCAGCAGUAGGGAAUCUUCCGCAAUGGGCGAAAGCCUGACGGAGCAACGCCGCGUGAGUGAUGAAGGUCUUCGGAUCGUAAAACUCUGUUAUUAGGGAAGAACAUAUGUGUAAGUAACUGUGCACAUCUUGACGGUACCUAAUCAGAAAGCCACGGCUAACUACGUG
Molecule: ribosomal RNA, 497 nt
Filed under: uncultured bacterium
Lineage: Bacteria
Description: partial 16S ribosomal RNA
Rfam family: Bacterial small subunit ribosomal RNA
Source: RNAcentral